This is a long non-coding RNA of Frieseomelitta varia, 845 nucleotides long. RefSeq lists it as uncharacterized. Lineage: Eukaryota; Metazoa; Arthropoda; Insecta; Hymenoptera; Apidae. The record is from RefSeq and is a predicted model, not a curated record. The transcript is spliced from 3 exons.
GUGACGGGCGAAAGACGAGAAGAGACGGUGGCGGAAUUACGUCAGGAACGUAGUGGGCAGUCGUGACCGUUCGAGUCGACGAAUAUCGGUGCCAUCGCGACGAUAAUUGCCAACCGGAAUCACUGGCACGACACACGAAGAUGAAUCCGGGUUCUCGAGCGUCUCGAGAUUUUUCACGGCCACGUCGUGCAGAGGCGACGCGUUAACGAACGACGUUACGUAUUCGAGGAAAGAAUCUGAAAUCCGCCCCUGUGGAACGCGAGGAAAACGAGGAGAACGCGAACGGAGCGAGACACGGUGACCGAUCGUGAUCGUUAUUGUCCAUUAUGAACGGCAUUGUUUCGCCGAUGGUGGUGCGUGGCCCUUCGUUUCAAGUACUGGAUGCUCGAAUAUUUCACGCAGCAAAGUACGUGCCAAUCGAGAGACAAAGGGCUGCACGAGUUGGCAAGGGUGACUCGGUAUGACGAUCGUACAAUACUUUCUACGAAGCCUUUUCUCCGAAGCUAUGGCCAUUAAUGGCGCCCUCUUCCUCUUUCUGUCGAUCGCUCGUCCCGUUAUUUUACCGUUCGACUCAACUUUAGAGGCUUUAAAGGCCGUACUUGAAGACACUUCGUCUUCGUGAGAUAAAUAGUCUCUCGCGCAGCGCCAGCGCAAUUAACAGAUUCGCUGUCACACGGCGACGAAUCCUCAGAAAAAGACAUUGAUUUCCUGUGUAUCUUUACACGAAUGUGCCUACCGUUGCGGAAGGAGAUUAAUCCAGUAAUAAUCUGACGGCGAAUUAAUACGUGAAAUUUGGUAAAAUUUAAAUAACUUGCGAGUAUUAUUCGGUAUUAUUAGACAAGAAA